Molecule: unclassified non-coding RNA, 424 nt
Filed under: uncultured fungus
Lineage: Eukaryota; Fungi
Description: partial contains small subunit ribosomal RNA, internal transcribed spacer 1, and 5.8S ribosomal RNA
Rfam family: Eukaryotic small subunit ribosomal RNA (bases 1-73)
Source: RNAcentral
UCAAACUUGGUCAUUUAGAGGAAGUAAAAGUCGUAACAAGGUUUCCGUAGGUGAACCUGCGGAAGGAUCAUCACUGAGAUCAGGGGUGUGCGGCGGCAGCGUGCUCUGCACUGCUUGCUUUGCUGCGCCCCCACCAAUCUUGUGUGCACUGUUUAACCCCCUCUUUCACAAAGAGUCAAGGGAGAGACACAUACCUACCACGACACGCGUGGCAGCAUGUGCUGUGUGUUGGCAAGUUUAAUGCGUAAGCAGUACUCUACUUGCCAACCACACACGCGCGCCAUGCCGUGUUGUGCGGCGUGUGUGUUCUCUUGUUCUCUCUGUAUAUAAUCACUUGUAAAUUAUUGUCUAACUUUAUAUAAUUAACAUGAACACAACUUUCAACAAUGGAUCUCUUGGCUCUCGCAUCGAUGAAGAACGCAGC